UGGAGAGGUUUGAUCCUGGCUCAGGAUGAACGCUAGCGGCAGGCCUAACACAUGCAAGUCGAGGGAGAAGCCUUUCGGGGCAGAAACCGGCGCACGGGUGCGUAACGCGUAUGCAACCUACCUUUCACAGGGGGAUAGCCCGAAGAAAUUUGGAUUAAUACCCCAUAACAUUGUGAGAUGGCAUCAUUUAGCAAUUAAAACUACGGUGGUGAAAGAUGGGCAUGCGUCCUAUUAGCUAGUUGGAGUGGUAACGGCACCCCAAGGCUACGAUAGGUAGGGGUCCUGAGAGGGAGAUCCCCCACACUGGUACUGAGACAGGGACCAGACUCCUACGGGAGGCAGCAGUGAGGAAUAUUGGUCAAUGGUCGGAAGACUGAACCAGCCAUGCCGCGUGCAGGAAGAAUGCCUUAUGGGUUGUAAACUGCUUUUAUAUGGGAAGAAUAAAGUGUACGAGUACAUUGAUGACGGUACCAUAUGAAUAAGCAUCGGCUAACUCCGUGCCAGCAGCCGGGUAA
Molecule: ribosomal RNA, 515 nt
Filed under: Capnocytophaga sp. FVAMC 7623
Lineage: Bacteria; Pseudomonadati; Bacteroidota; Flavobacteriia; Flavobacteriales; Flavobacteriaceae
Description: bacterial SSU rRNA
Rfam family: Bacterial small subunit ribosomal RNA
Source: RNAcentral